AAAUAUUCUUUGAAGGAGAAGAGUAACUAAUAGUAAAUUGGACAAGAGAACGAAGUCAUUGGCUGGAAGCUUCGACCAUGAACAUUAGUGAAGACACUCCCUAGAAGUUAGGCUGAACAUAGUUUUAUUAUUAGGUCUAACCGUUUACUGCGUUAAAGUUUUAAGUUGGUAUUUAUAUACAACUAAGGUGGCACCGCGCAUAUAGCGUCCUUAGA
This 215-nucleotide non-coding RNA is filed under the name Haloplasma contractile. Its description in RNAcentral is "T-box sequence". It matches the Rfam family "T-box leader". Rfam says of the family: Uncharged tRNA acts as the effector for transcription antitermination of genes in the T-box leader family. The record is from RNAcentral. Lineage: Bacteria; Bacillati; Mycoplasmatota; Mollicutes; Haloplasmatales; Haloplasmataceae.